RNAcentral lists this long non-coding RNA (26796 nucleotides) under Musa acuminata (dwarf banana). Its description in RNAcentral is "long non-coding RNA (MACU_LNC001458)". Lineage: Eukaryota; Viridiplantae; Streptophyta; Magnoliopsida; Zingiberales; Musaceae. The record is from RNAcentral.
GAAAGCAAUUACACGUCUGAUUUGAGUAUCUAAAAGAGGAAGAAAGAACUUGAGGUGUCCCCUUAGUUAUAGGACAAAGCUGUGGUCCUCCAACACAUGAGGAGGCUCCCGGGCUAUCGGUGGAGGACCGGUUCAACUUAAUCUCUCCUCCGAUGCACACUUUAAAUGCAAGCCAAAACCCUCUCUCACAUCCAUCCAUCAGCUAAACAAAGGGGAGCAGCAGCAUCUACAGAGAAGAUCCAGAUGGCAAACACCAAGGCCGUCGCCGUCGCUCUCCUCUGCGUGAUGGUGCUCUCUGUCGCUGCCGUCGACGCCGUCUCCUACACGACGGUGGACAACUCGUGCUUCUGCUUCUGCAUGAUCGAGCGGUGCAUGGUCACCCCCGGCGCCACCAAAGAGGCCUGCGCCCCCCCCUGCGACGAAGGCUGCGUCAAGGCCGGCCUCCAUGGCCGGAUCGACGAACAUGACUUCUGUGGGUACCGAUGAGUUCACCGUGCCGGGUUGGAGGUUCAACCAAGCUGUUCCUUCUCUGAUACCUUCAUCAUGUUACUGUGUUUGCCUCAACCUUGGCAUUGCCACUUGUUGCCUCUGAUUCUAGUGGAUGUUCUUGUUGCUUAUUAAUAUCAUAUCUCUUUUCUAAAUUAUGUUCGAUUAAAAAUUUAUUAAUGAUUGAGUUUAUUGGGCACACAGUAAACAAUUAUGCAUCAUAUGUAAUCUGUUUAUACAACGCAAUGAUAAACCCAUCCCGAACAAAUACAAACCUUAUAAAUUACUUUUAACUCGUGAUUGAAUCAGGAAUAUUUGUGUCAUGACUUGGCAGGGGUGCGCCAAGCCCGUGCCGUAGUGCAACGCAUGGGCUACGCUCGAGGGCCCCGGCAGCAAGCUACCGUGGUGGGCCCUCCCCAACAAGAAAUUAAUUUAAUAUCAUGGUGAGUCAAUGACCCACGUAUCAGAUAUUAAACUGAUAAGAACAGAUACUACACUUGAUCUUAGCCAAAAGGCCGAGAAAGGUAUGCUUUCGUAAGGAGCCAUCGACCUCCUUUUAUAGUCUCCUGUCUUGCUCUUCGUUCUGUUCCCAGCGAUGUGGGAUAACUCAAGCCUCACCACGACGAACAAAGCCAAAACCAUCUUCUUGGUUUAGAAGAACGAUGGGUUCCAUACUGAAGAUGAUGAUGGAAUCCACGCCUUCAAAACUCUCUUCCUAAAUCUGGACACCAGAUAAUUAGAGUGUGUCGCCAUGAAGCUGUCAUCACUGAGACUCCCUUUGAGGUCAGAAUGAUGUGUAUGAAUGAAAAACAAAAGAGACAAGCUUCAAGCUGUUAGGCGAUGGUUCUCGAUAGAUUUCUGAUCAUCGAGUGAAUAAGGCUGAUCGAUUAUACCACUUAGACAAGCUAUGAAGAGUGUCCCAUCGAAAGAGCUUGUAUGCUCUGAGGUCCUAUAGAUGAAGAUUCAGCAUCCAAGUGCGUCGAAACAGAAUCAAUCAUGUUUGGUGUAUAUAGGUGAAACCAACGUGAAUCAACUGGAAAUGCAAUAGCAUAUUGUGAUUGCUUAUCGAUGAGCGUUCCAUUCGGAUCAAGAGAACUAACUGACAGAAUUGCACUCACUGAUCCACCGCUGCAUAUCCAUGUAAACAAAAGACUUUUGAGAGGAGUUGUUGAGAGUCGUUGUACAAGCAGUUAUGGAGGAGAAUGAAGGAAGAAGACCAAAUGACGAAACGUUCCACGCAGAGAUGCCAGAGCAAGAACCGGUUUGCUUGCGGAAGAGUGGUGGUAGUGCCACCUCUCGCUUCCUCUCUCUAUUUCAGACUCGGCGAAUCACCACUAAACGAAGGAUGCCACAGCUGCGGUGGAUGCUCGCUCGGCCUUCGUCUUCCCCGCCUCGAUCUGGGAAGCCAAGAAUUAGGCUCUUGUUCUUCUCCGGAAGCCUAAUUGUUGGAAUAAUUUUCUCAAAGAAAAGGGAGAUCGCAAAGCGAUGAUAAUUUCGACGAGAGAAAAAAACGAAUUAAGAAGGAUUAGGAGGACCUUUUUGUUCUUCUCGACAGGAGAAGUUGUCGCUUCAUCAGGACCAGAAGAUGAGGGGGAGGCGGUCGACUCUGACGGCUCCGGCAGAGUGGCGAACAAGAACGUCGGCGGAGAAGAGGAUGGCGAGAUCAUGACGAUCGGUUCAAGAUGGGAAGCGAGUCGAGGGGAGAGACAGCGUACGAAGGGGGAGCCAGGAGUGCCGGGCGAGUUGCUGGAGGAUGGGGAUUGGGUCAGGGAGGAGGUGGUGGAUGAUGACGAGGAAGGGGAGGGGAGCGGGGAGGACAAGGAGAGGCGGUAGGCGGAAGGGAAUGGAGAGGAGGAGCGGGGCGAAAGGUCGAAGCGAGAGAGGGAAGCGACGACGGCGUGAGGGGGAGGGGGAGAAGGCGGGGAGCAGGGAAGAAGAUCAUAGACGAGGAGUUUCUUGCGGGAGCGGGUGGUGGGUCGAAGGCAGCGACGCUUGCGGAUGCCGAAGCAGGGGCAGGGCCCGACGAAGGCGACGGCGGAACCCUCGAUGCGUAGCUCCGGUGAGUAGAGUUGCGCCAUCGUGGCUGCUUCCGGUGACAUCUCGAUGAUUUCCAUCGCUCAGUGUUUCUCGUUCUCUGUUCUUGAAUGGAUGAUUUAACAUGGAGGGCAAAGGCUUAUAAAAGGAACAUGGUAUUCCUUACCCAAAUAUAUACCCAUCGACUUUAAUCGUAGACAAAAUAAUACAGGCCAAGAUUAACCAACCAGCCCUUGGUAAAGAAUCAGACGGCGCAGUUUAACUCUUUAAAAUUGCGAAGUAGGGCAAUAUUUAAAUCAAGCUUUGAUAGGGUGCGCCAGGCCCGUGCGGUAGUGCAACGCAUGGGCGACGCCCGAGAGCCGCGGCAGCAAGCUACCGUGGUGGGCCCUCUCCCAUAAUAAAUUAAUUUAAUAUCAUAGUGGAUCGAUGACCCACGUAUCAGAUAUUAAACUGAUAAGAACAGAUACUACACUUGAUCUUAGCCAAAAGGCCGAGAAAGGUAUGAUUUGAAAUGGAGAAAUCGACCUCUUUUAUAGUCUCCUCUCUUGCAUGUCGCUCCGCUCCUAGCAAUGUGGGACUAAAGAUGCGUCUACAUUUGGGCUCGUGAUGACAGCACAACAUCAAGAAAACACCACUAAAAUCAGUUCAAAAUUCCACUCGAAAUAUUAGAAUUAUAUAUGAGCUAAACAGUCUAAAAAGUAUGACUUCUUUGUGUGGUAAAGCCAUCAUAACCAGUCGAAUGCCAUCAGAAUAAGCCAACAAAACCUACCAAGUCAGCACUCGAAUAUCAUAAGAAUGUUCUUAGCUUCCCGAUCGUGAAGUUGACUUAAAAUUGUAGAUAAAUAGGUUUAUUGAUUGUAUAAAACUACAUUAUUGUUGUGGACAGUGAGCUGAAAAUAACAAAAGAUUGGUUCUAAAAACGAGAAAUGCAUUUGCGUUUGUAAGUAUCAACGGGGAUUAAGAGAGUUUACUCGAAAUCUAAGAAGGCGUAGACUAACCAACCAGCCCUUGGUAGAGAAGUAGGGGCAACAUUUAAAUCAAGCUUUGAUAGGGUGCGCCGGGCCCAUGGGGUAGUGCAACGCAUGGGCGACGCGCGAGAGCCCCGGCAGCAAGCUACCGUGGUGGGCCCUCUCCCAUAAUAAAUUAAUUUAAUAUCAUAGUGGAUCGAUGACCCACGUAUCAGAUAUUAAACUGAUAAGAACAGAUACUACACUUGAUCUUAGCCAAAAGGCCGAGAAAGGUAUGAUUUGAAAUUAAGACAUCGACCUCUUUUAUAGUCUCCUCUCUUGCAUUUCGCUCCGCUCCUAGCAAUGUGGGACUAAAGAUGCGCCUGCAUUUGGGCUCGUGUUGACAGCACAACAUCAAAAAAACACCACUAAAAUAAGUUCAAAAUUCCACUCGAAAUAUUAGAACUAUACAAGAGCUAAACAGUCUAAAAAGUAUGACUUCUUUGUGUGGUAAAGCCAUCAUAACCAGUCGAAUCCCAUCAAAAUAAGCCAACAAAACCUACCCAGUCAGCACUCUAAUAUCAUAAGAAUGUUCUUAGCUUCCCCGAUCGUGAAGUUGACUUAAAAUUGUAGAUAAAUAGGUUUAUUGAUCGUAUAAAACUACAUUAUUGUUGUGGACAGUGAGCUGAAAAUAACAAAAUAUUGGUUCUAAAAACGAGAAAUGCAUUUGCGUUUGUAAGUAUCAAACAGGGAUUAAGAGAGUUUACUCGAAAUCUAAGAAGGAUUAGAUUAACCAACCAGCCCUUGGUAGAGAAUCAGACGGCGCAGAUAACUCUUUAAAAUUGCGAAGUAGGUCAACAUUUACAUCAAGCUUUGAUAGGGUGCGCCGGGCCCGUGCUGUAGUGCAACGCACGGGCGACGCGCGAGGGCCCCGGCAGCAAGCUACCGCGGUGGACCUUCUCCCACAAUAAAUUAAUUUAAUAUCAUAGUGGAUCGAUGACCCACGUAUCAGAUAUUAAACUGAUAAGAACAGAUACUACACUUGAUCUUAGCCAAAAGGCCGAGAAAGGUAUGAUUUGAAAUGAAGACAUCGACCUCUUUUAUGGUCUCCUCUCUUGCAUGUCGCUCCGCUCCUAGCAAUGUGGGACUAAAGAUGCUCCUGCAUUUGGGCUCGUGAUGACAGCACAACAUCAAAAAAACACUACUAAAAUAAGUUCAAAAUUCCACUCGAAAUAUUAGAACUAUAUAAGAGCUAAACAGUCUAAAAAGUAUGACUUCUUUGUGUGGUAAAGCCAUCAUAACCAGUCGAAGAAUAAGCCAACAAAACCUACCCAGUCAGCACUCUAAUAUCAUAAGAAUGUUCUUAGCUUCCCCGAUCGUGAAGUUGACUUAAAAUUGUAGAUAAAUAGGUUUAUUGAUUGUAUAAAACUACAUUAUUGUUGUGGACAGUGAGCUGAAAAUAACAAAAGAUUGGUUCUAGAAACACGAGAAAUGCAUUUGCGUUUGUAAGUAUCAAACAGGGAUUAAGAGAGUUUACUCGUAAAGAACCUUUAGUGCACAAAUUAACUUGAUUAAACACAGUGCCAGGGAAAGCUAUUUAGUUGUUGUAGCCUGUGGUAUGGUAUAGACAGAAAGUAUCAUCGGAUCUUUCACUUGAUCCACCAAACCCAAACCACAUACAAGAUUGAAUCAAUUCUUCCAAGUUCAGAAGCUUAUACCCUCCAUCAAGAUUUCAACAAUAAAGGCAUCUGGCAAUUACUGUGACAACUCGGAUGCUUCCAGCAACGACUACUGAAGAGGCAAAGCAUCAUCUAGGAAGCCUUACAGCACACCUUACUUUUUGGAAUCUCUUGCGCUGGGCCAGGGAUGAUGAUCUUCUUUGCAGGCAGUGUCGGUGCACUGUUGUUGCUCUGAGGGUCAGAGGUCAGGCUCUUCUUGUUGACGAUGUUGAAAAUCUCAGUCAGCACAGUCUGGAAGGCGUUCUCCACAUUGGUAGCAUCUAGCGCUGAUGUUUCCAGAAAGAAGAGGUUUUCUUUCUGAGCAAAUUCCCGGGCAUCUUCCAUCGGUACAGCUCUCUGGCCCUCGAGAUCAGUCUUGUUUCCAACUAACAUGAUCACAAUGUUUUUGUCAGCAUGGCUCCGCAGCUCCUCAAGCCACCGAGGAAUGUGGUCAAAGCAUUGACGUCUGGUGAUAUCGUAAACAAUCAAGGCCCCAACUGCUCCUCUGUAGUAUGCACUUGUGACAGCUCUAUACCUGUACUAGGUAAAAAUCAUCAGCAACGAUUCAUCACAUCCAAAACAAGACGGCAAACACAAGAAGCCCCAAAUCAUCAGGUAAUAAGUGACAUUAUCACAAGAAUCAUAUAAGAAGUGAGUUCAACAAGGUAACAAAUAACUAACAUAAUAACACAGACAUAACGAUAGCAGGUCACAAGUAAAAUACGAAUCAGUUAGCUAAUCACUGUCUAAAAACAUGGGUAUCAAUAUGAUCAUCAUAUGGAAUUCAACAAGCAUUAGGAGCCUUCAUUAUGCUGCAAAGAAACAUGUAGCUCAGAUGCAGAAUAAAGUAAAUUCCAUGCAUCAAUACCUUUCUGUGAGGCGCACUUAACUGACAACCUUUCAUGCCUCAGAAAGAGGAGACGGAGAGAACACAUAAUUUUAAUAUAUUCUCUAGAGUUUUACCAAUCUAUUCCAAUAGAGACACUUUAAGCAUCACUGCUAUGCCACAUCCAUCUUUUUCAAUAUAAUAUUAAUGCCAACAUAUGUUUCCUAUUAAUGAAAUUUACAUGGUUCAACUCCAUGAAAAGGCACAGUAACUAUUAAAUAUAUACAAAAUUAGAUCAAAAGAAAUUCAAGUUGUACUGAAGCAUGUAUCUUGAAUAUAAAUUUGUGUAUCUAGCAACCAAACAGAUUUCUGCAGCUGGUAGUAUCAUCUUAUGUUUACAUAGUUUUGAUAAACAAUGUGUAUAGCUGCCUGACAUAUAAAGGUUGAAUAACAGGUUAAGAAAAUGUUGUUUGUAUAUCAGUAAUUUUAGAAAAGGAUGUAGACAAAUUUUCAUGUCAAAUCCCAUUUUGAAAGAUAGUGAUCGACGGUGAUGUACAAAAUUUCUCUUUCAAUUUACUAGUUUCACACAUGCCAGCUAACAUAGUUCAGUGCCAAAUUAUGGUCCUACAGAACAUUUAUGGUUGCAUAAUUGUCCGACCAUAUGCCACCAUAUGGUUUAUAACUGGUUAAGGAUGAGUUUAAUAGUACCUUAAUAUGAUGGCUCGUUGAUCUUCAUUCAUUUAGUCUGAAAAGAUUAUUACUAUUAAAAUCGGAUUCACAUAGCAAUUUGCCACAAAGUCAAACAUUAAUAAGGUUAAUAUUUAACAUCUAGUCUUGCAGACAAAGCUAAUUAUAAGAAGGGCCUUUUUGGAUGUCUAACACCAAGCAUCAACACCUCAUAGAUGAGACAGCCAGUUGCAGUUCCAUUUGAAUAGUCUCAAAGUGGGAAUGUCAUCUGCUCUCAAAAUUUCAGGAAGUAAAUACACCUACAAGGUGAUUUUUAUGUCCAGAAAAAUCAUAUCACUAGCUAUGCCCUCAAGUUUUUCCUGGUGCCUCCCAAACUCCCUAUCUAAGUCACUAUUACCAAGAGGAAAAACUUAUGUCCAGUAAAAAUUAUCUCGCUAGAAGGAAUACCACCACCCAGAGUUAUAAACAGAACCUAAAUAUCUAUGCUUUGCUACUUCGAACUGUGAGCAGAGUGAUCGACUUCAUAUUACAUGUCAAUUAGAAAACAUCAAACAAGAUUGAUAAGGAUAAGUAAAGUAGUGAAAUAAUCUUCAAUCAUCUGCUCUGUUCGAAGCACGGGCAAAGCAAAGAGAUCUAAAGCUCUAACCAUCAGCUCUGUUUAGAGCAUGAUCAGUCCCUCAACCACCACCACAAAUGCAAUGAGCACAACCAAUUAAAACACAAGCAUUCAUCUCCACCGACAUUUCAUCAGCUAAACUCACAGAUAGAUCAGAUCAAUAGAGUUAAACCAAGUCGAAGAAAAAGAAAGCAUCCGCGCCUAAAUCUGCCUUUCAUAUACUAAAUAAGACGCUUAAGAAUCAAGCAUUAACACCAAAAAGCUAAAUCACUACAACCCAACAAGAAACCGAAUCACUCAAAGCAAAGUCACAUGGAUCAAAGCACUAAAGUCUGGAACCAAUCAGAUUCGUACCAGAGCUCGUAGAUCUAAAGAGCACAAGUAGAGGUUCGGAGUGAAAGAGGGUAAGUGCUUGGGGGGAGCAAAGGUGGCACCUCUCUUGGCCGGCGGUGUCCCAGAUCUGGGCCUUGACGCUCUUGUGCUGGAUGACGAGGGUUCGCGUCUGGAACUCCACUCCGAUGGUGGCCUUGGAGUCGAGGCUAAACUCGUUCCGCGCGAACCGCGCCAGGAUCUGCGAUUUCCCCACCGCCGAGUCCCCGAUCAGCACCACCUUGAACACAUAGUCGAUCUUGUCACUGCCUCCGCCCGCCAUUCCCGCCAAUGCUCCACCACCACCGACGCCGCGCUCGACCUGCUCUCUUCCGUUCCGGUAGAAGAGUAGAGCACCCGGUCACCUCACACGGUUGCGUCCGACGCCAGGCAGGACAGGGGUCAAAAGUCAGGAUACUUUUUGCCGAGUCCGCUCACCAUCUGUGAGCGGUGAGCAGCCGAGCACCUCCCCGAUCGAGAGCAACACUUUACCUACCAUUUAUGUUGUUACCGGAACAACUACCUACCGAAUUAUUCGGCUUUUGCAAGCGGGGCCGACCAUCGGUCUCGAUACUUGGUACACUCUAGUGUAAGAUUGAUGGGUAGGUUAAGCAAUUUGGACAUGCUAUCACAAUCCUGUCCGCCCGCCGUUCUCGAGACACGGAAAUAAGUGGUCGGAGAUGGAGUUCAUCAGCCACUGUGCGGGCGACCGCAUAUUGUUUUCAUGUACGCAAUACGCCUGAAUUAAAACAACAAUAUUUUUUAAAGAUAAUUAACCCUGAAUUGCAAAAGAAAAAAACAUUAAGAUUUUUUUUUCUCUUCGUGUAAAUAAAACAUGAUGUGUUAACACCAAAUAUAUGAGCUAUAAGAAAUUAUAAUAUUCAUGUCAAUUAAACAAAUAACAAUAUAUUUACGGAAAAAACCAUAGUUAUGUAGGAAAAUAAUUUCAGUGAUCAGAAUUGAUGUGAUUAAAAAUAGCCCUAUGUAUCAACUAAAAUAUAACGUGGAAUUAUAAAUUUGGUUUUAAAUUUUGAAUCAGCCAUUCAAUCAUCCAUAAUUUUUUUUUAUCAUAAAAUAUUUUAUUUUCUCACAAAAUUUUUAAAUGACACUCGAUCCACUAUAGCAUUCGAUCUCAUCACAAUAUUUGCAUUAGGAGAUGAGAGGGUCGGAUAGUGGAUAUCCGGUGUGUACCUAGUAAAAACUUCUCUAAUGUUUAACUUAGUAAGAAUAUUUUAUUAUGAUGAUAGCGUUAUAUAGUCGGACGUUUCAAUAUGGUCUCAUAAGCAUACAUAGAGCACGUUUAUAAAAGGAAAAUUAAUUCAUAAAACUAUUUUACGAAAUAAUCUAGGGGGCACAUAUGAAGCCAUUUAGCAUUACAAUUACAGGUGAUAUAACAGGUAUCACCCAGCAUAUAAGACGACGCCGCAUAGCAUAGAGCCGCUCUAGAAAAUUUGGAACGGUGCUAUGCAACAUAGAUCCAUGCAGCUCGGUCGGCACUCACACAUGAAUUAUAAGUCUGCUGCCCCAAUGAGUCGAUCGUGUAUGAUCGACCUUCGUUCGUAAGUAUAAAAGUCGAUUCCUUAAUCAACAUUAGGGAAGACCUUGAACACUUUAAUUUGAUUUAACCUCACUUAACAUUGACUUGAUUUGAGGAACAAAGUCAGGAAACCCCCUCCCGGCUUUGGCCUUUAUACAAGGAUUUGGAGGAGAAGAAGAAGUAAUCUGUCGAAGGAGAGAUCACACUUGGGAGACAGAGUUUCGACUUAACUCGACGUGACAUCGUUGUUCCUCAGCCAUAGCCUUUGUAUGAGCAACUGUCUGCAUUUAGGAUCGGAUAAAAUCAUAUUGAUACCUCAAUUACGGUAUAAGAAUCCUCACAAUACGUGACUGAAUGAGCCCGGAAUCAUUUGUCACGAGGACAAUGUUAUUGAUGCUGGCGCAAUGUAUCAUAUAUAUAAGAAUCUAAUUAUAUGAUAACUAGAUUUAAGAAUUUAUUUAUAUUAAACUCAAUUAAUCCUAUGACACGUGUCACAUGCAACCACCAAACAUUUUAUUACAAAACAUAAAAUAGAGAAGAGAAGGAAAACAAACUUGGUGAAUUUAACUCAUUAAUAUUUUCAUCAACUAUUGUUGCUCUUCAUAUAUAUAUAUAUAUAUAUAUAUAUAUAUAUAUAUAUAUAUAUAUAUAUAUAUAUAUAUUUAUAUUCCAAAAAAUAGAGAAAGCAUGCUCACUGUCAUGUUAGGAGGACCUGCAAAGAGAAAAUGCUAUUAUCACGUUUUGUUUUAGUUAUCUUUCUGUAUUUUGUGUGUGUAGACUAAAGACAAAACUCUAGUAUUAAUAACUUUAAAAGAAAAUUAAUUGAGAAAAAAAACUGCCUGUUCUCUCUCAUCCGUGUAAGUAUUUUUGUUUGUUUAAGAUACGUAAAUUUUCGCUACCCAAAAAUGUGAUUUAUUAACCUAAUAAGUUUUAUCGUUAACUUCGCAUUAUGUUGCCAUAAAGAGAGAUAAAAAAGAUAUAUAUUCCCAUCAAGUAACGGCCGACACAGAAGAGUUCGUAUCAGCGGUAGAUGCGUCCGAGAAUUGUAGCGGCCGUCAUCAUGACAUCAUUCUAAAAGCAUAAAGUUUGUAUGCGGGAGGGUAAACUGCGCAUAAGAGGGCGAUGGAGCCGUCAGAAACAUGAGCGAGCCGCGCAGCGUAGGGGGCGAGACGAUGGACGAGGAGGAGCACGAGGUUUACGGAGGAGAGAUCCCCGACGAGGCCGACAUGGACGCCGACGUCGACAUGGCCCUCCCCAACGAGAACGCCGCCAAGGUAAUUCUCUUUCCGGUCACCCCUUUCCCUUCUAGGAACCCGCGGAACCCUAACCCUAAAUUCUUAACUCUGUCGGUUCGAAUCAGUUGCAGGAGCUGGACGAGAUGAAAAGGCGACUCAAGGAGAUGGAGGAUGAGGCCGCUGCCCUCCGCGAGAUACAAGCGAAGGUCGAGAAAGAGAUGGGCGCCGUCCAAGGUCCGAUCUCCUCUUCCCCCUUCUCCAUCUCUAUGGUCUCAUCCCGUUCUCCCUGAUAUGGUGAACCGACGCUUCUGAUUUGUCUUUUUAGUUAUGAGAUGUUCGAUCGAUAUCAUUCUAGAGCGUGAUCGGUGCAUCAGUGUAUGAAAAUGCUCUUAUGUUGUAGGGAAAUGUUAUGAGAAGAUGUCGGUGACGUUUUGGUACGUCUAAGUUAGUAACAUGAGGUUGAUGAGUUUGGUCAUGAGUGGUCAAAGGGGAUCCUCAGUAACUGUACUAAGAGCGAGUUUUUAUAUAUGAUGUAGAGGGAUAGCAGAGGGGCGGAAUAUUCUGUGGGGAGGUAUAGCUCUUAAUCGCGUCUCUCAGCCUAUAUUUGUCCUUUUGUUAACAUAGAUGGCAAUAGAGGAUGCAGCCCACAACUGUCUGCUUUGUACUCGUGUCCACACGGAUAGACCGGUGGGGGGUAAUUUUUGUCUCUUUCUUCUGGUUUGGAUCUCACGUGAUGGUGAUUGAUCGACUGAUCGACGAUAUCUUUCAUAUCAGAAAGUUAUGAGAUGGGGGUUGGAGUUUCAUUAGUUCUUUAGUUGAGCCAUAGGGUUUUGACCCAUCUCCCUUUAUCGAUGAUUUGGUGCUUCUGGUUUGUUGAUUUAGUUGUGGGAUGUUCUCUUGAUGUUAUUAUCAAGCGCAAUCGAUGCAUCAGGAUGGGAAUUCAAUGUCCAUGAUGGAAUCUCAUUUGUUUUACUGUACCUAUUAGUUUACAACUUUCCUAUGAAAAUUCAUGCACAGUCCAUUUAGUAUAAUAGUUGCAAAAAUCGUGGCAAAUGAUUUGAUUUCGAGGUUUAGUGUGUUGUGAAUUAAUUCCUUAAGUUUAGUAUACUAUGGUUACUCGUGGUGAACAAUUUCUUGGUCCACUUUUCAUGCAUAAUAUUGAGAUUCAUAUCACAUUGAACCUAAUGCCUAAGCCAACUUAUAAAAGCAAGCACAAUAAGCAUUUAUACCAAUUCACUUCAUCCUUUACUUCCUUACCUGAACUAUUCAGGACAUCACAUUGGUAGUGUGACUGUGUCACAGCGCAGAAGAUGUUGAUACUGAUUAGCAGUUUGUUUGUUUAUUGUAUUGUUGUGCUGGGAUUUGCAAAUUGACAUUGCUUUCAUUGUUUCCAGUAAGUUUGAUAUUAAAAACUUUAUGCUUGGGUAUAAUGAAAAGGCAUUCUGAGUUAUUUCCUCUUUAUAAUAGUUCCAUCAUGUAUUUAUUAAUCUUCAUUCUGGAAUAUGUGUAGAAUCGUCUAGUGCUGCAGCAACUCAAGCAAGCAAGGAGGAGGUUGAUGCACGCUCAGUAUUUGUUGGCAAUGUGAGUUGCGUAAUUUCACUAUUUUGUGGUUCUGUUGAACUAAUAUGUACUCAUGCAUCUCUCCUAGAAUGGUUAUGAAUGCAAUCUCGUGUGUUGUGUUCCUUUUUAUUUUGGGUAUUUGCCCAUUGUUGACUUCAUUAAUACAUGUUAUGGAUUUUGUGGCACCUUUUGAUGCUUUAGUUAGGCUCUAGAGCCUUAUCCACCUCACAUAUUUUUAAACCUGACCCGAGUUUGGCAAAACCAAAACCGGUCAACGGUUCUGAAUCGGAAUCAGGAUUGGGUGGUUUGGUUCCCCCCUUUGAAUCAGAUCCCACAAUUCCGGAUCGGUUUCGAAUUUGGGUGAAGAAAAAGGGAAAUAGUCACAUGAUGUAGCGAGAGUCAAUGGUCAAUUUGACCAUUGCAAUGAUGAUCAAAAGACUAUUCUGCCCCUUCCAAUGGCUUAAUAAAAGGUUAAUUGAAAUGACAUUUUGGGGAAUUAAAAUUAUAAAAUUUGAAUUUUUAAAGGAUUGUUUUGUCCUUUCUAACAACUAAAUAAUGACUAAGAAAUUAUGAAAAAUCUAUAAAUAUCCUCCUCUAUUUCAUUCUUCUGUAUACCAAAUUAAAACCAAUCUCUUUACUCUCUAGUGCUCUCUAAUUGCAAUAAAAAUCUCUCUAAUGCUCUCUAAUUGCAAUAUGACAAUCUCUCUAUUGUGCUUUAAUUGCAAUAGCAAUCUCUUUAAUGCUCUCUAAUCGCAAUAUGGUAAGUGAAAGUUCAAUGCCUCCCAACUUUAACAAGCACCCAGCCAUGGUACGAAUUUAAGGAAGUCAACAUUUCCGCAUGGAGAAAGAAGAUAUUACAAAGAUCCAUUUCAAGAAAUAAGAAAUUUUGAUGGUUCAUUUCCGGAAAUUUAUAACUAUUGCUCUCAAAAGUAUUAAAUUAGAGAAGGAUGUGAAUAUGAGACGUUUAGGAAGCACAUCGACAAAUUCCAAUGUCAAAUUGUCAAAUACACAAUUAUUUUUUAAAAUCCAAAAUUUGCAUUAUGUUUUUAAAUUUCUCAAAAUGCUUCAAUUAAUCGUUUAUUAAGUUGUUGGAUGAGGCAUAAUGGUGUUUUUACCAUUAUUGCAACGGUAAAGAUGGCUGUUGGAUCUGUGUUUCCUUUUCUUUCACCUGGUUCGGAACUGUGGAGCCAUCUAAACAUUUCCCGUUUUGGUUUCCAUUGGUUUGGGUUCAAACCGAUUGUCGUCUGGUCUAAUCUCAAGGCCACUAGUUAUUGGCCAUUUUAAUUUGGGGACAAUAUUAAGGGAAAAUUAAGCAAACUUUUGAAGUAAAUUUCACAUAGUCUCCAGUGUUGAAUUGGGUUGGCCUCACUCAUGAUUUAAAUAAUAUAAGGUGGCUGAUGUAUUGGUAAUGCUUUGAGUAUUUGCAAUUUGUCAGUGCAUUAUGUUUGAUCACAGAUGAGAUAUUUUGAGGCAUAAAUGUUCGAAAGCUUAUUAUAGAGAUAAUGACUACCAUCUAAAUCUAAAUUUUCAGCAAUCAAAGAUACACUAUUCCAAUGCCCCUUAGGCAGUUGAUAAUCUAAAACACUAUCGUAAGUAAGAUAAAUAAAUCACAAUCUAAAUAUCUUCUGAGAAUGGAUAACUAUCUGAUGUCUGCCUUUGAGGUAGGUUCCUUUCUCGUGGAGCUGCUGAUCACUUGAAAAUGUCAAUUUGGUGUUCAAUUCUGACUCCACAGAUUUAUCCCAAGAAAAUAAUAUUAAUUAAAAUAUAAUGUAUAUUGUCAUAAGAUAAACUAAUGCUUCAGUGGUUUCUGUCAUACCAACUCUAUAUACGUGACGUUUGGGCUUGUGACACAAGGUGGCUUUUGAAAGGUUGUCGACAGUCAUUGUGGUUGCUGUAGUUCCUUUUUGGACAUGGACCUAGAAUAUGUUAGAAAUCUUGGAUGAUUUCUUAAACUGUUCUGGUAUUCAUGGCAUUCUAGAUAUUGAUGUUUGCUCCUAUGCAACCAAUGGGUAUACAUCAGAUUUCGGAAUUUUCUUGAUGUGAUUCAUCUAUUUCUUUUGCUUCCAUUCUGGCCAAGUUGAAUAUAUUUAUAUUUAAUCUUUGAUACUAUGUUAUACUUUGAAUGUGAUAGUAUUUUUGUCGGUUUAUUUUGUCUUUACUUUCAAAUUUAGACUCAAAAGUUGGUUGAAGGAAAUAUCUUUCAAUGCUUUGAUCGUUUGUGGUCUUCUUUUUCUAAUAGUUUGAGUUGUGUCUGUUGCUUUUUCUUCCUUAUUUUGGGUUUAUCUUUUGAUGAAAUUAUCUAACAAUGAUGGCCGCAGGUACACUCUUCGGUAUUAUGAGGUCUCUGUUUACCCACGAUAAUGGGGUGUCAGGAAGCUCUGACUUGCAAUGAGUUUGUAGUUGAAAUAAAAGAGGAAAAUUUCUUUAUGUUAUAACUAAGAUUCAAGAGACAAAAAAAAGUGUGAUCAAAAUAGCAUGGGAGAGAAGUGUUCUAUGAUGUUAUAACUAAGAUAGUAGAUACGAGAAAAAAAAAGUAAAGUUUAGUCAAAAGAGCAUGGGAGAGGUUAAAAAAAGUGGAAGAAGGAAAAAAAGUAAAGAAAAAAUAUAGUGGAGAAUGCUUGAUUUAUGCAACUCUGUAGAUCUUAUGUGCAAAAAAAACAAGAAAGAAAAGGUGUAGAUAUAGUUAUUUAACUUGAAGAACGAAAUCUGACAGAAAGAAUUGAAGGAGUUGAUGGUUUGAAGUUAGGCAAUGGGACAGGUGGUGUGAAGUCCAUUGUGCUAUCAGCAUAAUGAAACUCCAGGGACACCAGCAACUAGAGAUGCUGAAGACUGCCUAUACUUGGUGUCGGAGUUGGAGAGCAUUGGAUUAUAUUGUUGCUUAGCAUUCUUUGGUGAGGGGUCCUUGAUCUCUUGUUUGUGGUCUUAUCAUCUACUUCUGUCCAUAUCCUGUGAGCUUUGGAUUGUUUUUUUGCAUAGCAUUUGUUGUGAUACAACUUUGACCUUUUUCUUGUGACCUUGUCUUCUACCAUUCCUGUCCAAAUCGUGUCAACUCAUUUUUUAGGUGUUUGAUAAAACAACCCUUUUGAAGUUGAACUUAUAAUUCACUGAGUCAUUUGGACCUUUAUGUAUCGGAGAAAUUAUUUCUUUUUUCAAAGGGUACAAAUUGGAUUUGCAUCAGAUACUGAGGUUGAGAAUUAGGGAGCUGAAUAUUCGUUAUGUUCUUCUUAAUGUCCAAUUAAUCAUUAUUAUGGAAGUUCAUAAUUUUUGGCAGCCAAAUGACUCUUAGCAAUUUUUUAUUUGAAAGAUUAGAUGCUGAAAUCUCCCUUUUUGUCUUUUGUGUUGCAGAUUCAUUUUCUUGACCUUAGACUUCAUUAGUAUAAAAUGAUUUUCCUGUUUUGUUCUUGAUUACCAGCUUGCAUGCAAUAACCAAUUAAAUAUUAUCUUCUUUGAUCUUGUAAGCUAAUGCCAUUCCUGUCUUAUGUUUUUCCAUGAGCAACAAUAUGCAUUCUCUGAAAUAAUUGUGGAAAUAUGGUAAGUUAAAGUCAUUUUCGAAAAUAUCAGCAAAUCUUGGCCAUUUUAACUUUAAAUCUACUGAUCUAUUGGGUGAGAAGGUAUAUAGCCCAACUUAGGCAUGAAAAAAGUGAUAUGACAAAUGGCUUGAACAAAAAUUGUGUAAAAUGCCCAAAGAAGUUUAAAUGGGCACAUUGAAACAAUUUUUUGAUGCUGUAUUAUUAUAUUGGGACUAUCUUAAUUAAUGCUCUUAUUUUUCAUGUACCAGCAGAAAGUACUCGAUUAAUUUAAAGGUGUAAUUGUGUGAUCAUGAGAGGUGAGCAAUUAAAAAAAAAAUAUUUUCUUUUUCAAUUAAGAUGGGAUGACCUCUUGAAUAAAAAAAUGAUCAAUAAUAUUGAGGUAUAUUGUAUCUUACAUAGAUUGAUAAAUUUUUCAAAAUAUUGUUGUGCCAUAUCGAUUGGGAAGUAACCUAUUUUUGAACAUUCAUAUUGGAGAACAUGGGUGAAGUGAGACUUUUAACAACCUUUAUAGCUCACAAUGCCUUCGCCUAAAUCCUGCUGGCAUUAACAUUCCUCUAUUGGUUGAGGUUUGGGAUCAUCAAGAAGUUGCAUGUAUCUAGUUAUAAUUACUUUUAUUGUGGAAAAGAGGCUUUCACAAUGAGUAAUUUUUGAAGGAUGAAUUUUGUAAUUACACCCUUUUAACGUUGUUCAAGUUGGAUAAAUUAUGAUAACACAGUAUUUUGUAUGUUUGUGAUCCUGACAAGUGUGAUUUAGUCUGAUGUCUGAUAUUUUGUAAGUUUCUUGUUCCCCUCUUCUUUAGAAGCAAGAAGUCUCAUCUCUGCUUUGACAUAGUGGUUGUUUAUUGGUGUGUGUUUUGUUGGUAUGCCUUAGGUUCUCUUAACUAUAUGCAUGCUCCUAGUAACUUUAUUGUAGCAGCUUGAUUAAGCAUGACCUGAUGCCUUAUUAUUUGCCUGCACAUACCAAUUGUGUCUAUGAAUCAAUAGGUGGAUUAUGCUUGUACACCUGAAGAAGUCCAGCAGCAUUUCCAGUCAUGUGGAACAGUCAACAGGGUCACUAUUCUGACAGACAAAUUUGGUCAGCCAAAGGGUUUUGCUUACGUUGAAUUCGUGGAAGUUGAGGCUGUUCAGGAGGCUCUUCAGUUGAACGAAUCCGAACUACAUGGGCGUCAAAUAAAAGUUUGUUUAGUCUUGAUCUCAUGUUUUUAACUACUACUUUCGAACCAUUGGAAUUUGGAAAUAAAAAUAUUUCAGUUUUCUUAAUGAAAGGGAUGCCUCAUUGCAGGUAGCGGCUAAACGUACCAAUGUCCCUGGAAUGAAGCAGUUCCGUCCAAGGCGGUUCAAUUCAUAUGCAGGAUCUCCAUAUAGGAGGCCAUUCAUGCCACCAUACUUUGCUUCCCCAUAUGGCUAUGGGUUAGUAUAUAUAUAUGUAUAUUUUUUUACUGGCCUUGCAGUAUUGUUGUGACACAAGUUAUUUCAGAGAGAAUGCCAUUGACAAACUCUUAAAAUGUCUCUGCAGGAAGAGCCCCAGAUUCAGAAGGCCAAUGCGCUAUAGGCCUUAUUUAUGAUUAGCUGAUAAGAGACCCUUGUUAGCCUUUAAGUUUGUGUGCCAAACUUUACUGAACUGGUGUGAUAUCUUGCCAGUACUUGUAUGACAUUUUAUGAUUAAAGUGUUCCUAACAAAGACAUUGAAAAGAAGUUUGGACCAUGUAAUUUUUUGCUUGCUAAUUUCUGUACUUGGGUCAGUCUUGCCACCAUCGAUGUGUCAGACCAUUGUUUUUGGUUUUUCCUUUUACUUGUGUUGCCUGCUUUGUCUUUCAUGCUUGCUGGACAAUUCGCAUUAAGAUUGGUAACUUGCAGCUUCUUUUAAUUCUAUAUAUGUGAAAUCCUCGCAUGGUGGCUCUGUUCAUCUUUAUUUGCUGCAGUAGCUUCCCGAGUUGAUCAUGCUUGAAACGUACUCGGCCAUCCACUGUCAGAUCCCUUUCUUGACGGGUUGACUUUGAGAAUCGCAAGUCAGACCAAGCCUUUCGAUAUUCUGAUCAAGCACAAUUUCUAAGUUGAGACUGACUGACCUGUGGAUGCUCCAUAAACAGUUUAUAUUAGGACGAACUAUAUUGAGAUUUGUCUAACUUACUUGCAGAGAUAAGCCUGUCCAUGAUGCUGAAACGUCAAUAAUGGAAGUGAAGACCCAACAGGAGAACUUUUAUCUUUCCUGAAGUCUUCCCCCUCGGCCACUCCCUCUAGUGCCCCAAGGCACUUCGUCCGUCGGUGGGGGGAGUUCUACUCCUCCGCGUCCACGAUCAGGUACAAAAAUCCUGGGUUGUUUCGUGUUCUCAGCCGGUGACACUAGCGUUGCCGGUAGAGCAUGGCAGAGCUCGACCAUUUUUUUUCUUUUUCUCCUCAUUUUUCGAAUCUUUAUAAAUAAAGGAGGUAAGAAGAUACUAAUUUACCAGUUUAACAGUGGAUUUUUUGUCCGUUGCUUCAAUCACUGCAUCAUUUGCGUCAUUGUCUUGUACGUGCUUAGGACCUCCUUGAGGAGGCAAAGAGAUUCUGGUACGUGGAAUCUCGGGGCUUCUCUAUACCGCCUCAGCGCCUUGCAACAUGCGGCAGCAUUUGCUUGGUGCACUUCGAAGAAGGCGAAGAAGUAAGGAGGCUGAGGUGCGGCCAUCUUUACCACACCGUCUGCACCCGCCGGUGGUGGGAGGUCGCCAGGAGUUGCCCCGCAUGUAGGGACGGGCACCUCCUUGCGACCUCCCACCACCGGCGGAUGUAAAGUUGGCCGCACCUCAGCCUCCUUAUUUCCUCGCCUUCUCCGAACUGCACCAAACAAAUGAUGCGCAUGUUAUAACGCGCUGAGGCGGUACAGAGAACCGCCGGGACUCCUUAUAUCCUUAUUUCCUGGCCUCGUGAAAGAGGCCCUAAGCACGUACAAUACAAUGAUGCUGACGAUUGUAAUAGAAUGAUACAAUACAUUUGCGGGUCCAAAGAGCGGAAUAUUGAUAACUAGAAGUAAAACAUAUCAAUCAAGUAUUCAAAAAAAAAUUAAUAUUAGGAUCUCCACAUCAUCAAAUAUAUUAUUCGAUAGAAAAUAUCAAAAUAAAGGAUUCAGAUCCUUACCUUUUCCUUUCGCAAGUGUUACCUUAAAAUAACCUUCUUCUCUGUUUUUUUUGGCCACACUCUCGAUCAUGAUUAGCUAGGAGGAUGGAUGUAUAUUUAUAUAUAAAGGAGAGCGAUCCCUUAAAGAUCUCUCUUCUAAUAUGCAUUACACUAUCUUUCCUAAAGAUCUCUCUGUGAUCCUCCCAAAUUUAAAUGUAUUACACUAAAUCUUCUAAAGAUUUUCUCAUGAUCGUAAAUUAUACCUCUAUGGACAAACAAAGAGAUAGGUUUAUCGACCCUUAGAUAGGAGAGAAGAGAGGUUUUUUCACUUAAGGAAGGAAAUCAAUCAUAAUAAUUUUAAAAUUAUUAUUUAAUUAAAUAAUCUAAUCUAAUAUUUAAUUAGAUAUUUUAUUAAAAAUCUCUGGACUAUUGGCCUUUUAUAGGAUGUUGGUUUUUUAUAAGAUGUCGUCGUCCAUAUUUAAUUUUACGUGGAAACCCUUUUUUUACUUAGAACAAAAAUGCUUUUACACUUUUACUUAAAUAUCAUUAUUUUGAUGAUAUAUUCUAUUCAAAAAAUCUUUAAUUUUGAUAAUUAAUUAUCAUAAAAUCUUUAAAAAAAAGAAAAAAAAAUGGUACUAAUAAUCUUAGAAUCAUAUCAUAGUGAUUCUAUGAAACUUUGAGUUGGUUUAGUUUUUCACUUAGAAAUUUAACUAAGUUACACUCGACUAUAAUAUUAGUUUUUCAAAGUCUUAAGUUUCGAUAAUUAACUAUUAUUUUUUUAAAAAAAAUAUUAUAAUAAUUAUUAUUUUAUAAUUAUGUCUUAAUAAUUCUAUGAAAGUUUGUAUUGGUUUAGUAGAAGUUGAUUAGGUUACCCUUGAAAUUGAAUUAAGUUACACUCGAUAAUAAAAUCUAUUUAUUUUUAAAUUUUAAUAAUUAAUUAUUAUAAAAAUAAUUAGAUAAUUUGGUGGAAGUUUGAGUUGGUUUAUGGAAGUUAAUUAAGUUAGACUCAAAAUUGAACUAAUUUACACUCGUCACAAAACAUAUUCAACAAAUCUCUAAUUUUAAUAAUUAAUUAUCAUAAAAUCUUAAAAAAUAAUGCUAAUCAUCUUAAAAGAUGUCCUAGUGGUUUUGUGAAAGUUUAUGUUGGUUUAGUAGAAGCUGAUAAACACUCAAAAUUGAUCUAGGAUAUACUCGAUCAUAGAAUUAGUUCAAAAAAAUUUAAAUUUAAAUAAUAAACUAUUAUAAAUGCUCAAUUAUAAAAGGAGUUUUAUCGGACGUGGCUCUAAUAUAGUUUUACAAGGUCUUGGAUUCGUAGCUCUCACUCUUGAAUAUAUUAACCUAUGACAUAUUCAAGAAAAGAUCAUCAUUAGAUUCGAGUCACAUUUUGAUAGAAGAUAAGAUUUCCCCAACUUGAUAGAGGAUAAGAUUUCCCCAAUUAUACGAGGAAAUCUCUCUAUUCUAUUUAUUCUGUUGAGGGAAAUCCUUCCUCCUAAUCUGUAUAAAUAGGAGAGGGAACAUGUUAAUAGAUUCAAGCUAAAGCUAUUUCAUUUCUACAAUAAAGCUUCUUCAAUAUUUGUUCUUAUCUUCUAUUAUUUCUAUCAUGGUAUUAUUUUAAUAUUAUUCCUAUUAUUUCAAUAAAUAGGAAAUCGCUCUUGCUUUUGGCCAGCGACCAACGCCGCUGAGAAAAGCGAAGCUUCGCCCUUGUCUUCGGCCAGCGAUCAACGCCGCUAUAGCCACAUUCUUGAGAGGCUUCACGGCCAAUCCUCAUCUUCCUCACCGCGGUAGUCUUCGCUGAUCUGCCAACAGUCGGCGGACUUAAGGAGAACGAAGGGCGGAUGUAAGGAGAACGAAGGGAACGCCUGUGCCCUCACAGCAACAGCAAUCGCAACAACAACAGCGAUCUGCUCUUGCCCUACUCACGAAGCCUCUUGCUUUAAACCAUUCUUUGCAUCGAUCCAAGAUUGGUAGCCUCUCUAUUCUGUUUAUUCUGUUGAGGGAAAUCCUUCCUCCUAAUCUGUAUAAAUAGGAGAGGGAACAUGUUAAUAGAUUCAGGCUAAAGCUAUUUCAUUUCUACAAUAAAACUUCUUUGUUAUUAUCUUCUAUUAUUUCUAUCACAUUUAAGUAAGAUCAAAUUAAACUUUAGUGGAAUCUUAUUAAACUUUCUCGAUGCAAUCAAGAUGGAACAAAUUUUCCCAUUGGGGAUCUAAAUCCAAUCUUCACUUUCAAAUGCCUGAAUCCAUAGUGUUUCGUUGACUGAUGUAAUUAUAAACCACCCAUUAAUCACUCCACAGCUGAAUCCCCUCUAGCCAACCAUCAUAGUUGCCACAGAAGCCUUCAACAAAUUGAUUCAAACAAGUGUAAGUGUGAGCAGGAGUGGCACGUAUCUUCAUCUCAAACUUACCACAUACGGUGCAACUUGCGGACCCAAAUCCCAAGUCGUGUCAUCUUCUCCGGCACCAUCUCCUCUCCUGGUAUCAUACUAAAUCACACCCACUCCAAAAUGAAACAUCACGAGGAGCGUCAUCACCACCUUGUCCAUUUGAGUCUCGAUGAGAAUUCCGUAUACAUAUGUUGGAGGCAUUUACCUUUCUUUAACAUAAUUUAUAAUUCUCGCAGAAUCGAGGAUUAUUUACAGAAAAAUUCCAAAGAUAUGGUACUCCGCCAGUGGCUACUGUCAGGCCACGCGAACACGCCGCUCCCCUUCGGCAUGACAUUCUCCCAGUGGCCGCCGUAGCGGUUGCCGUUAGCUCAAAUGAGCGCCCCACGGUCGGAUAUUACGCCGUUCCGCUACUCAUCGACGUACUGGUACCCGCUCCGCCACAAGUACCGGCCAUAGCCCUCCUGUAGGUUGCGCUACCAGCCGCCCUCGUGAUAGUUGCCGUUGGAGUACCACUUGCAUCCGUACUCGUGCUCUCGGUCGGCGACACCGAGCUCGCCCCCGAAGGUCGCGUUGGAGGGCAACGAGAACUUUCCCUUUCCGGAAGCCUUCCCCCUCGUGCAUGCACCGGUCGGCCCGACGUGUUGCCGAAGAGCCUAUAGAGUUCGACCCUUUUUGUCUUUUUCUCCUCAUUUUUUGAAUCCUUACAAAUAAAGGAGGUAAGAAGAUACUAAUUUACCAGUUUAACAAUGAAUUUGUCCGUUGUUUCGAUCAUCUACAUCAUUUCUAUCAUCGUGUAGUACGUGCUUAGGGCCUCCUUAUCGAGGCAAAGAGAUCUGCUCCGUGGAGUCCCGACGGUUCAAUAUACCGCCUCAGCGCCUUCCAACAUGUGCGUGCUCUGUGUGGUGCACUUGGAAGAAGGCAAAGAAGUAAGAGGCUGAGAUGCGGCCAUCUUUACCACACCGUCUGCAUCCGCCGGUGAUGGGAGAUCGCCAGGUGGGGCACCUCCUGGCGAUCUCCCAUCACCAGCGGAUGUAAAGAUGGCCGCACCUCAGGCUCCUUAUUUCCUCGCCUUCUUCGAAGUGCACCAAACGGAUCACGCAUAUGUUGUAACGCGCUGAGGAGGCGGUAUAGAGAACCGCCGGGACUCCUCGAAGCAAAUCUCUUAGCCUCGUCAAGGUGGCCCUAAGCACACACAACACAAUGAUGCAAAUGAUGCAGAUGAUCGAAACAACGGUGACAAAUUCAUUGCUAAAUUGGUCGAUUAGUAUCUUCUUACCUCCUUUAUUUACAAGGAUUCGAAAAACGAGGAGCUCUGCAGGCUCCUCGACAACAUGUCAACAUGAUCAUUGCCUCCGAUCAUGUCCAGACUCGUCGGUGCUCUCGCGUGGCUUCGGACGUCGUAACUGUACUUCAAUGAUUUUGACAUCCAAAGAUCGGCAUAUUGAUCGCUAACAACUUAAAUUAAUUAGAUAAUCAUAAUUUGAGGGUCCAAAGAGCGGAAUAUUGAUCGCUAGAAGUAAAGAACAUCGAUUAAAUACCUAAAAUUUUUAGAAUAUUAAUAUCCAAGAGGUAAAUAAAUAAGAAAGGAGAAGAGUAUCAUCAUACCAUCAAAUGAAUUAUUCUAUAGAAGAUAUGAAAAUAAAGGAUUCGGAAUUCUUACCUUUUUUCUUUCGCAAGUGUUAUCCUAAAAUCACCUUCUUCUUUCUUUUUCUUUUAACUACACUCUCAAUCAUGAUUAGCGAGGAGGAAGAUGGAUGUAUAUUUAUAUUAUGGAGGGGAGCUAUCCCUUAAAGAUCUCUCUCAUAAUCUUCCAUAAUAAAAAUGUAUUACACACUCUCUCUCUCUAAAAAUCUUCGGCGUGACAUUCUCUAAUUUAAAUGUAUUACACUACAUCUCUUAAAGAUUUUCUCACACUUGCUAAUCGUAGCUCUAUCGAUGAAUAAAGGGAUUUGUCUAUUCACUCUUAGAUAGGGGAGAAGAGAGGUUUUCCCACUUAAAGAAAGAAAUUAAUUAUAUUAAUAUUAAAAUUGUUAUUUAAUUAAAUAAUAUAAUCUAAUAUUUAAUUGGUUAUUUUAUCGAAAAAUCCCCUAACUAUUGGCUUUUUAUAGGAUGUUGACAUCCAUAUUUAAUUUUACAUGGGGAAAACAAAAAAUUCUUUAGACUUUUACUUCAAUGAUUUGAUGAUAUAUUCUAUUAAAAAAAUCUUCAAAUUUGAUAAUUAAUUAUCAAAAAAUUUUAAAAAUAAAAAAGUGAUACUAGUAAUCUUAUAAUCAUAUCAUAGUGAUUCUAUGAAACUUUAAGUUGGUUUAGUGGAGGUUAACAAAAUUACACUCGACUAUGAUAUUAAUUUUUUAAAGCCAUAAAUUUUGAUAAUUAACUAUUAUUAAAUUCUUAAAAAAAUAUAUUAAAAAAGUUAUACUAAUCAUCUUAUAAUGGUAUCUUAAUAAUUGUAUGAAAGUUUAGAUUGGUUUAGUAGAAAUUGAUUAGGUUACCCUCGAAAUUGAAUUAAGUUGCGCUCGAUUAUAAAAUUUGUUCAAAAAAUCUCUUAAUUUUGAUAAUUAAUUAUCAUAAAAUAAAUUAGAGUCACGAUCAGAUAAUUUGAUGGAAGUUUGAGUUGGCUUAUGAAAGUUAAUUAAGUUAGAUUCAAAAUUGAACUAAGUUACACUAACAUUUUCAACAAAUCUCUAAUUUUAAUAAUUAACUAUCAUAAAAUUUUAAAUAAUAAUACUAAUCAUCUUAAAAGAUAUCCUAGUGAUUUUGUGAAAGUUUAUUUUGGUUUUAUAGAAGCUGAUAAAGUUACACUAAAAUUAAUCUAAGUUAUACUCAAUCAUAGUCUUGAUUCAAAAAAUCUUAAAUUUUAAUAAUAAAUUAUCAUAAAUAUAAUUUUAUCAGACAUAGUCCCAAUAUAGUUUUACACGGUCUUGACAUGUGGAUUCGAAGCUGUCACUCUUGAUUAUGUCAGCCUAUGACAUAUUUAGGAAAAGAUCAUGAUUAGAUCCAAAUCAUCUUUAAUAUUAGACAAUCAAAAUAUAACAUAAUAGAUUAACGCCAGAAGAAAAGCAUCCUUUGUGGAUGCAAUCAAGAUGGAACAAUUUUCUUGAGUCUUCGUCUAUAUCUAAUCUUCACCUUUAAAUACCUAAAUCCAUAGUGUUUUGAUCCCUAUUCAGCGACGUAAUUAUAAAUCACUUCACAGCUGAAUCCCCUCUACCCAACCAUCAUAGUUGCCACAGAAGCCUUCAGCAAAUUGACUCAGACAAGUAUGAGUGGUAGAGCAGGAGUGGAGUGUAUCUUCAUCUCAAACUUACCGCAUCUGGUGCCAAUUGCACUUUAAGGACCCAAAUCCCAAGUCGUGUCGACCGCACCUUCUCCAACACCAGCGCUCCUAGUGUCAUGGCCAAAUCACACCCACUACAAAAUGAAGCAUUACGAGGAGCAUCAUCACCACCUUAUCCAUUUGACUCUCCAUGAGAAUUACAAAGGGAGUCGAAAGUUCAUUUCAUAGAACUCGCCUAUAGACACGGAAGCAUCUUUUAAAUAUAAAAUAGUGCCAUGAAGAUACGAAGAACAAAAUUAAACGAAAGAAGCUAAAGCUAAUAUACCUUACAUUUAGUGGACUUUUAUCCAAGACCAUUGAAUGAACCCAUUCCUACGAGGAUUCGACUAUCGACACUAGAGACCUAUGAUGCUUUCUAGUAAAAGUGUCAAUCGGACCGAACGAAGACAAGAAAUGCUUCCCUUAUAUCCAUCCCUAUAACCCUAUUCCCCAUAUGAACAAGGUGGGGGCGACGAUGGGGAAUCCCCAUUGGGGUUAAGAAUCCAUGAGUUAUCUAUAUCCUCCUAAUUAAUUUAUUUAAUUUUAAAAAAAUAAAAUUUCUAUCAAAUUUAAUUAACAAUAUGGGUUCUCUGAUCAUCCUAAUUGGGGGUGGGGAAUCAUCAUCAUUAUCAUUUAUUGUUCGUUAUUUCCAAUCAUUGAUUGUCGAAGAAAUCAUCAUUUGUUGACGAAGAGAAAAAAAAUAUAAAAACAAAGUCAAAUAAUUAACAUGAUAUCACAUGUGAUAAGGGAUGUGAUUAUUAUGAAAGAAGUAAUAUUUUACAGUAAAAAGUAUUAGUUGGCUUAAUUGAUUAAUAUUUUAAUAGUUUAUAGUAAGAUUAUAGGUUGAUUAUCCUUCGUAAAAAAAAUAUUCCAUAUUCGAUUGUUGACGCUACCAAGUGAACAAGAAAUAAUAUUCAACGAGGCAAAUGGGUUGUGGUCGGCUGUAAUAUUUAAUUAGGACGAGGAGGUUCCAUAUAUAUAUGUUGGAGGCAUUUACCUUUCUUUAACAUAUGUUGUAAUUCUCAUAGAAUUGAGGAUUAUUUACAGACAAAUUCCAAAGAUAUACGUAGCAGCUGCCGUCCGGCCAAGCGAACACGCCGCUCCCCUUCGGCACGACAUUCUCCCAGUUGCCAUUAGCCCAGAUGAGCGCCCCACGGUCGGAUAUUACGCUGUUCCGCCACUCGCCGUCGUACUGGUUCCCGCUCCGCCACAAGUACCAGCCACAGCCCUCCUGUAGGUUGCGCCACUAACCGCCUUCGUAAAAGUCGUCGUUGUAGUAACACAGGAGCCGGGGCAGGUGCUGCCCUCCGACUCGGUGAAGGUCCAGAAGCCUUCCAUCCGGCCGGAACGGAACACCCCCCUGAAGGUCACGUUGGAGGGCCACGAGAACUGUCCCUUUCCGAAAGCCUUCCCCCACCGCCACUCCCCCUCGUGCAUGCACCAGUCGGCCCCAAGGCACUUCCCCCGUCAGUGAGGAGAGUUCUGCUCCUCCGCGUGCAUGCAUCACUGACGUGUUGUCGAAGAGUCUGCAGAGCUCAUCUUUUUUCUUUUUGUCUCCUCAUUUUUUGAAUCCGGAGCUAAGAAGAUACCAAUCGACCAGUUUAACAAUGGAUUCGAUUCUUCAGUCAUCUGCUUAAUCAUUUUUGUCUUGUACGUGCUUAGGGCCUCGUCGACGAGGCCAAGAGAUUUGCUUCGAGGAGUCCCGGCGGUUCUUACACCGCCUCAGCGCGUUACAACCUGUGGAUGAUUUGUUUGGUGGACUCUGAAGAAAGCGAGGAAAUAAGGAUGCUGAGGUGCAGCCAUCUUUACUGCACCGUCUGCAUCCGUCGGUGGUGGGAGGUCUAUGAGCGGAUGCAAAGAUGGCCGCACCUCAGCCUCCUUAUUUCUUCGCUUCUUCGAAGUCCACAAAGCAAAUCACACACUGGUUGUAACGCGCUGAGACGGUAUAGAGAGAGAACCGGUGGGACUCCGAGAUCUCUUUGCCUCCUCAAGGAGGCCCUGAGCGCACGUACAAGACAAACAUGGUCAAGCAGAUGAUUGAAGCAAAGGACAAAUCCAUGCUAAUCUGGUCAAUUAGUAUCAUUUUACUUCCUUUAUUUUUAAGGAUUCGGAAAAUGAGGAGACAAUAAAGAAAAGGGAGCUCUGCAGACUCCUCGACGAUAGAAGAGAUAUCCGUACUUGCGAACGAAACAGAAGUUGUGAUAUGCACCCAAGUACUUGAUCGAGAAUAGGAUCUCCAUACCAUCAAAUGUAUUAUUUUAGAAGAUAUAAAGGUUUUGGAUCCUUACCUUUUUAUUUUACAAGUGUUACCCUAAAAUCACUUCUUCUCUCUUCUUAAGUCACACUCUUGACCAUGAUUAGCAAGGAGGAGGAUGGAUGUAUAUUUAUAUAUGAAUGGGAGAUAUCCCUUAAAGAUCUCAUAUAUAAUUUUUUAUAAUGAAAAUGUAUUACACUACCUCUUUUAAA